UCUCUCUUGUUAUGUGUAUAUUAUUCCCCUCUCUCUAUCUGUCUCUUGUCUGUUUCUGUCUUCUUUUGUCGAUUGUCUUUUAGAUAUUUGGAGGCCUGGAGAAAUCCUUACUUAAUAAGAGGAGUGCCCAAGAACCAAGCAGAAUUGCAACAGGGUCGAACUACACUUGGAAAACCUCCCAUGGUUCACUUCCAUACUGCAGU
RNAcentral lists this non-coding RNA (203 nucleotides) under Pteridomonas danica. Lineage: Eukaryota; Dictyochophyceae; Pedinellales. The record is from RNAcentral.